Molecule: ribosomal RNA, 418 nt
Filed under: Vibrio parahaemolyticus
Lineage: Bacteria; Pseudomonadati; Pseudomonadota; Gammaproteobacteria; Vibrionales; Vibrionaceae
Description: partial 23S ribosomal RNA
Rfam family: Bacterial large subunit ribosomal RNA
Source: RNAcentral
CAUUUGAGUCUGGGAUUUCUGAAUGGGGAAACCCACUUACAUAAGUAAGUAUCGCUGCGUGAAUACAUAGCGCAGCGAGGCGAACCGGGGGAACUGAAACAUCUAAGUACCCCGAGGAAAAGAAAUCAACCGAGAUUCCGAAAGUAGCGGCGAGCGAAAUUGGACUAGCCCUUAAGCUUUACACGCGUUAGACGAACGGUCUGGAAAGUCCGACGAUACAGGGUGAUAGUCCCGUAGUUGACGACGUGUGUUCAGUGAAAUCGAGUAGGGCGGGACACGUGAUAUCCUGUCUGAAUAUGGGGGGACCAUCCUCCAAGGCUAAAUACUACUGACUGACCGAUAGUGAACCAGUACCGUGAGGGAAAGGCGAAAAGAACCCCUGUGAGGGGAGUGAAAUAGAACCUGAAACCGUGUACGU